This 2931-nucleotide ribosomal RNA is filed under the name Escherichia coli. Its description in RNAcentral is "bacterial LSU rRNA". It matches the Rfam family "Bacterial large subunit ribosomal RNA". The record is from RNAcentral. Lineage: Bacteria; Pseudomonadati; Pseudomonadota; Gammaproteobacteria; Enterobacterales; Enterobacteriaceae.
GGGUUGUGAGGUUAAGCGACUAAGCGUACACGGUGGAUGCCCUGGCAGUCAGAGGCGAUGAAGGACGUGCUAAUCUGCGAUAAGCGUCGGUAAGGUGAUAUGAACCGUUAUAACCGGCGAUUUCCGAAUGGGGAAACCCAGUGUGAUUCGUCACACUAUCAUUAACUGAAUCCAUAGGUUAAUGAGGCGAACCGGGGGAACUGAAACAUCUAAGUACCCCGAGGAAAAGAAAUCAACCGAGAUUCCCCCAGUAGCGGCGAGCGAACGGGGAGCAGCCCAGAGCCUGAAUCAGUGUGUGUGUUAGUGGAAGCGUCUGGAAAGGCGCGCGAUACAGGGUGACAGCCCCGUACACAAAAAUGCACAUACUGUGAGCUCGAUGAGUAGGGCGGGACACGUGGUAUCCUGUCUGAAUAUGGGGGGACCAUCCUCCAAGGCUAAAUACUCCUGACUGACCGAUAGUGAACCAGUACCGUGAGGGAAAGGCGAAAAGAACCCCGGCGAGGGGAGUGAAAAAGAACCUGAAACCGUGUACGUACAAGCAGUGGGAGCACGCUUAGGCGUGUGACUGCGUACCUUUUGUAUAAUGGGUCAGCGACUUAUAUUCUGUAGCAAGGUUAACCGAAUAGGGGAGCCGAAGGGAAACCGAGUCUUAACUGGGCGUUAAGUUGCAGGGUAUAGACCCGAAACCCGGUGAUCUAGCCAUGGGCAGGUUGAAGGUUGGGUAACACUAACUGGAGGACCGAACCGACUAAUGUUGAAAAAUUAGCGGAUGACUUGUGGCUGGGGGUGAAAGGCCAAUCAAACCGGGAGAUAGCUGGUUCUCCCCGAAAGCUAUUUAGGUAGCGCCUCGUGAAUUCAUCUCCGGGGGUAGAGCACUGUUUCGGCAAGGGGGUCAUCCCGACUUACCAACCCGAUGCAAACUGCGAAUACCGGAGAAUGUUAUCACGGGAGACACACGGCGGGUGCUAACGUCCGUCGUGAAGAGGGAAACAACCCAGACCGCCAGCUAAGGUCCCAAAGUCAUGGUUAAGUGGGAAACGAUGUGGGAAGGCCCAGACAGCCAGGAUGUUGGCUUAGAAGCAGCCAUCAUUUAAAGAAAGCGUAAUAGCUCACUGGUCGAGUCGGCCUGCGCGGAAGAUGUAACGGGGCUAAACCAUGCACCGAAGCUGCGGCAGCGACGCUUAUGCGUUGUUGGGUAGGGGAGCGUUCUGUAAGCCUGUGAAGGUGUACUGUGAGGUAUGCUGGAGGUAUCAGAAGUGCGAAUGCUGACAUAAGUAACGAUAAAGCGGGUGAAAAGCCCGCUCGCCGGAAGACCAAGGGUUCCUGUCCAACGUUAAUCGGGGCAGGGUGAGUCGACCCCUAAGGCGAGGCCGAAAGGCGUAGUCGAUGGGAAACAGGUUAAUAUUCCUGUACUUGGUGUUACUGCGAAGGGGGGACGGAGAAGGCUAUGUUGGCCGGGCGACGGUUGUCCCGGUUUAAGCGUGUAGGCUGGUUUUCCAGGCAAAUCCGGAAAAUCAAGGCUGAGGCGUGAUGACGAGGCACUACGGUGCUGAAGCAACAAAUGCCCUGCUUCCAGGAAAAGCCUCUAAGCAUCAGGUAACAUCAAAUCGUACCCCAAACCGACACAGGUGGUCAGGUAGAGAAUACCAAGGCGCUUGAGAGAACUCGGGUGAAGGAACUAGGCAAAAUGGUGCCGUAACUUCGGGAGAAGGCACGCUGAUAUGUAGGUGAAGUCCCUCGCGGAUGGAGCUGAAAUCAGUCGAAGAUACCAGCUGGCUGCAACUGUUUAUUAAAAACACAGCACUGUGCAAACACGAAAGUGGACGUAUACGGUGUGACGCCUGCCCGGUGCCGGAAGGUUAAUUGAUGGGGUUAGCGCAAGCGAAGCUCUUGAUCGAAGCCCCGGUAAACGGCGGCCGUAACUAUAACGGUCCUAAGGUAGCGAAAUUCCUUGUCGGGUAAGUUCCGACCUGCACGAAUGGCGUAAUGAUGGCCAGGCUGUCUCCACCCGAGACUCAGUGAAAUUGAACUCGCUGUGAAGAUGCAGUGUACCCGCGGCAAGACGGAAAGACCCCGUGAACCUUUACUAUAGCUUGACACUGAACAUUGAGCCUUGAUGUGUAGGAUAGGUGGGAGGCUUUGAAGUGUGGACGCCAGUCUGCAUGGAGCCGACCUUGAAAUACCACCCUUUAAUGUUUGAUGUUCUAACGUUGACCCGUGAUCCGGGUUGCGGACAGUGUCUGGUGGGUAGUUUGACUGGGGCGGUCUCCUCCUAAAGAGUAACGGAGGAGCACGAAGGUUGGCUAAUCCUGGUCGGACAUCAGGAGGUUAGUGCAAUGGCAUAAGCCAGCUUGACUGCGAGCGUGACGGCGCGAGCAGGUGCGAAAGCAGGUCAUAGUGAUCCGGUGGUUCUGAAUGGAAGGGCCAUCGCUCAACGGAUAAAAGGUACUCCGGGGAUAACAGGCUGAUACCGCCCAAGAGUUCAUAUCGACGGCGGUGUUUGGCACCUCGAUGUCGGCUCAUCACAUCCUGGGGCUGAAGUAGGUCCCAAGGGUAUGGCUGUUCGCCAUUUAAAGUGGUACGCGAGCUGGGUUUAGAACGUCGUGAGACAGUUCGGUCCCUAUCUGCCGUGGGCGCUGGAGAACUGAGGGGGGCUGCUCCUAGUACGAGAGGACCGGAGUGGACGCAUCACUGGUGUUCGGGUUGUCAUGCCAAUGGCACUGCCCGGUAGCUAAAUGCGGAAGAGAUAAGUGCUGAAAGCAUCUAAGCACGAAACUUGCCCCGAGAUGAGUUCUCCCUGACACUUUAAGUGUCCUGAAGGAACGUUGAAGACGACGACGUUGAUAGGCCGGGUGUGUAAGCGCAGCGAUGCGUUGAGCUAACCGGUACUAAUGAACCGUGAGGCUUAACCUUACAACGCCGAAGGUGUUU